GACGAACGCUGGCGGCGUGCUUAACACAUGCAAGUCGAACGGAAAGGCCCUGCUUGCAGGGUACUCGAGUGGCGAACGAGUGAGUAACACGUGGGUGAUCUGCCCUGCACUUCGGGAUAAGCCUGGGAAACUGGGUCUAAUACCGGAUAGGAGCCAUUUUUAGUGUGAUGGUUGGAAAGUUUUUUCGGUGUAGGAUGAGCUCGCGGCCUAUCAGCUUGUUGGUGGGGUAAUGGCCUACCAAGGCGGCGACGGGUAGCCGGCCUGAGAGGGUGGACGGCCACAUUGGGACUGAGAUACGGCCCAGACUCCUACGGGAGGCAGCAGUGGGGAAUAUUGCACAAUGGGCGCAAGCCUGAUGCUGCGACGCCGCGUGGGGGAUGACGGCCUUCGGGUUGUAAACUCCUUUCGCUAGGGACGAAGCUUUUUGUGACGGUACCUAGAUAAGAAGCACCGGCUAACUACGUG
Molecule: ribosomal RNA, 465 nt
Filed under: uncultured bacterium
Lineage: Bacteria
Description: partial 16S ribosomal RNA
Rfam family: Bacterial small subunit ribosomal RNA
Source: RNAcentral